RNAcentral lists this ribosomal RNA (370 nucleotides) under uncultured Sphingomonas sp. RNAcentral's name for it is "bacterial SSU rRNA". It matches the Rfam family "Bacterial small subunit ribosomal RNA", at positions 69 to 484 of the family's 1533-position model. The record is from RNAcentral. Lineage: Bacteria; Pseudomonadati; Pseudomonadota; Alphaproteobacteria; Sphingomonadales; Sphingomonadaceae.
AGACCUUCGGGUCUAGUGGCGCACGGGUGCUGUAACGCGUGGGAAUCUGCCCUUGGGUUCGGGAUAACAGUUGGAAACGACUGCUAAUACCGGAUGAUGACUUCGGUCCAAAGAUUUAUCGCCCAGGGAUGAGCCCGCGUAGGAUUAGCUAGUUGGUGAGGUAAAGGCUCACCAAGGCGACGAUCCUUAGCUGGUUUGAGAGGAUGAUCAGCCACACUGGGACUGAGACACGGCCCAGACUCCUACGGGAGGCAGCAGUGGGGAAUAUUGGACAAUGGGCGAAAGCCUGAUCCAGCAAUGCCGCGUGAGUGAUGAAGGCCUUAGGGUUGUAAAGCUCUUUUACCCGGGAAGAUAAUGACUGUACCGGGAG